This 490-nucleotide ribosomal RNA is filed under the name uncultured bacterium. RNAcentral describes it as "partial 16S ribosomal RNA". It matches the Rfam family "Bacterial small subunit ribosomal RNA", at positions 30 to 507 of the family's 1533-position model. The record is from RNAcentral.
AUUGAACGCUGGCGGCAGGCCUAACACAUGCAAGUCGAAUGGUAACAGGAAACAGCUUGCUGUUUCGCUGACGAGUGGCGGACGGGUGAGUAAUGUCUGGGAAACUGCCUGAUGGAGGGGGAUAACUACUGGAAACGGUAGCUAAUACCGCAUAACGUCGCAAGACCAAAGAGGGGGACCUUCGGGCCUCUUGCCCUCAGAUUUGCCCAGAUGGGAUUAGCUAGUAGGUGGGGUAACGGCUCACCUAGGCGACGAUCCCUAGCUGGUCUGAGAGGAUGACCAGCCACACUGGAACUGAGACACGGUCCAGACUCCUACGGGAGGCAGCAGUGGGGAAUAUUGCACAAUGGGCGCAAGCCUGAUGCAGCCAUGCCGCGUGUAUGAAGAAGGCCUUCGGGUUGUAAAGUACUUUCAGCGGGGAGGAAGGGAGUAAAGUUAAUACCUUUGCUCAUUGACGUUACCCGCAGAAGAAGCACCGGCUAACUCCGUG